RNAcentral lists this ribosomal RNA (250 nucleotides) under uncultured bacterium. RNAcentral describes it as "partial 16S ribosomal RNA". It matches the Rfam family "Bacterial small subunit ribosomal RNA", at positions 524 to 773 of the family's 1533-position model. The record is from RNAcentral.
UACGUAUGGUGCAAGCGUUGUUCGGAAUCACUGGGCGUAAAGAGCGCGUAGGCGGAUAAUUAAGUCGGGUGUGAAAACUAUGGGCUCAACCCAUAGCCUGCAUCCGAAACUGUUUAUCUGGAGUCCUGGAGAGGCAGGCGGAAUUCUUGGUGUAGCGGUGAAAUGCGUAGAUAUCAAGAGGAACACCAAUGGCGAAGGCAGCCUGCUGGACGGUGACUGACGCUGAGGCGCGAAAGCGUGGGGAGCAAAC